CCUACGGGUGGCAGCAGUGGGGAAUAUUGGACAAUGGGGGCAACCCUGAUCCAGCCAUGCCGCGUGUGUGAAGAAGGCCCUCGGGUUGUAAAGCACUUUCAGUGAGGAAGAAUGCCUGGUGGUUAAUACCCAUCAGGAAAGACAUCACUCACAGAAGAAGCACCGGCUAACUCCGUGCCAGCAGCCGCGGUAAUACGGAGGGUGCGAGCGUUAAUCGGAAUUACUGGGCGUAAAGCGCGCGUAGGUGGCUUGAUAAGCCGGUUGUGAAAGCCCCGGGCUCAACCUGGGAACGGCAUCCGGAACUGUCAAGCUAGAGUGCAGGAGAGGAAGGUAGAAUUCCCGGUGUAGCGGUGAAAUGCGUAGAGAUCGGGAGGAAUACCAGUGGCGAAGGCGGCCUUCUGGACUGACACUGACACUGAGGUGCGAAAGCGUGGGUAGCAAACAGGAUUAGAUACCCUUGUAGUC
Molecule: ribosomal RNA, 465 nt
Filed under: Vreelandella stevensii
Lineage: Bacteria; Pseudomonadati; Pseudomonadota; Gammaproteobacteria; Oceanospirillales; Halomonadaceae
Description: partial 16S ribosomal RNA
Rfam family: Bacterial small subunit ribosomal RNA
Source: RNAcentral